This 535-nucleotide ribosomal RNA is filed under the name uncultured Chloroflexota bacterium. RNAcentral's name for it is "bacterial SSU rRNA". It matches the Rfam family "Bacterial small subunit ribosomal RNA", at positions 8 to 561 of the family's 1533-position model. Lineage: Bacteria; Bacillati; Chloroflexota. The record is from RNAcentral.
AGAGUUUGAUCCUGGCUCAGGAUGCCGUAAGGGGGCGUGCCUAAUACAUGCAGGUCGAACGAAGACCCUUAAAAAUACGGCCUUAGUGGCGAACGGGUGAGUAACGCGUGGGUGACCUGCCCCGAAGUGUGGGAUACCAGUCCGAAAGGACUGCUAAUACCGCAUAACAUCCAGGAGAUUAGAACCUGCUGGAUUAAAGGAGUUUUUCGCUUCGGGAGGGGCCUGCGUCCCAUCAGCUAGUUGGUAAGGUAAUGGCUUACCAAGGCGAUGACGGGUAGGGGACCUGAGAGGGUGGCCCCCCACAAUGGAACUGAAACACGGUCCAUACACCUACGGGUGGCAGCAGUAGGGAAUAUUAGUAAUGGGCGAAAGCCUGAACUAGCAACGCCGCGUGUGCGAAGAAGGCCUUCGGGUUGUAAAGCACUUUUUGAGAGGACGAGGAAGGACGGUACUCUCAGAAUAAGUCUCGGCUAACUACGUGCCAGCAGCCGCGGUAACACGUAGGAGGCGAACGUUAUCCGGAUUUACUGGGGAG